GAAUACAAUAGGUAGAAAUGACAAAGAAAAUGAAAGCUGGAAAUAGAAUAAAUAACAUAAUGGAAAAGCCUUUUCUAAAGAAUUCUCGUCCUUGCUGCAGACAAGGGUUCUGGGUGGGGAUGAGCUUUGUGCCUGUGCCAUGAAGUUUAGCUCAACCCUGUUUUAAUCUGAAAUUUACCUGCCACUAACAUCACUAGAUUGUGCUUUAUGAAUAUAGCAAUUAUGGGUAAAUGCAUUAUUCUUAAUUAAGCAAUAUUGAAAACUAUACUCUCAAUCUUAAUGUUAUACCUAAUUAUCACAUCGUUAACCGUUAGAUUUUUUUGUUUUUGUUUAUUUAAUGCUGAUUAGAGCUUGAACUUUAGAUCUCACAUUAGUGGAGAAGACUUCAGUACCCAACUAAAUUGGUUGAGAAUAUCGUGUUUUUUCCUCCAUGGUCUAGAUAAAAUUUGAACCCGUCAAUGAGGAAAUAAUUGCUAAUGGUCAUGCAUCUCAGCGUGCUGUUGCCGCUGUGUUGACCAUGUCGGAGAUUAACAACAGUAUGUGGCCGAUUUAUCGGGAGGGGGCUCACUUUUACUCUUUGCUGCCAUGUCUUCCAUCAAUGCUGCAUCUGUCCCUGGUUGUCUAACUGAAAAAAAA
Molecule: unclassified non-coding RNA, 636 nt
Filed under: Hevea brasiliensis (rubber tree)
Lineage: Eukaryota; Viridiplantae; Streptophyta; Magnoliopsida; Malpighiales; Euphorbiaceae
Source: RNAcentral